ACAUCUCCUAAAUAAUCCUCAGCCGGUACUUCUGCUAGUCCGUGCCAUGCUUAUACUGGUGAUCAAGAUGCCUAUGUCUCCACCACCGUCGCUCAGCUGCUUGCCUCUGUGUUGGCUCGCCGGACCUACUGUUUGCGCUGUGCUUAAGGUCCUACUCACCGGUCUUCUCGUCGACAGCGCCAGUCGUGUCUCCCACCACGCCGACACUUUUUCUCCAUCGCUCGACUCCGUGCUCAGCGCUCUCACCAUCACCGCGUCUCUCCUCGCCGGUGUUCGCCGGACAUACGCUCAACCUCGCCACCGUGGGACUUACCUCUCCUCCAAACCGUGUUCGCCGCAGCCUAGCCAUCGUCUACCUCUAUGCUCAGCACGAAACCGCUCGCCCUACAGCCUCGUCGCGUCACCGUCCUGCAGGCACUGAGCUCCACCCACCUCGGCGAAGGCCACCGUCCCCUUCUUCACUGUGCACUCGGCAUCAACUUCCUGGUGCACACCGACACAACGCUCUGGUCGCGCGCCCUCCAUCGCACGCUCAGACACUUGCCCCUGUUCGUCACCUCGGGACUUCGCCGUCACCCGUACUUCGCUGGUUGUCAACUUCGCUGGCUGUGUUCGACCUCCAGCCACGUCACCAUCGUGCCCUUCAUCCGUUCGAAGAACACCUAGAAAAAGUGAUGUUUGAAGGAGUUCACUUCAGUGCCUGUUGAUCCAGUGGUGGAGUUUCAUCUAACUACUUACCAGAGUAGAAUAAUUUUGGGAUCUUCUGCUGCAAUAAGGAGAAGUUUUAUUCCCUUAUCUUUGGGUUAGUUACUUCAUGUGGAGGACUUGAAGCUUAGAAUGUUUUUAUAUAUCUCUUAUGGAGAGGCUUCACCCUUCCAAUUAUUGUAGUUAAGUUAUGCACUUCGAGUACUAUCAGGACUUGUAAUAAAUACAUCUCUUUCUACCAUGUAAAACUUGAGUUCUGGAAUGUAAAGCGUACUUUGUAAAAGUCUUCCGCUCUAUCUCCAAUGUCUGUGUAUCAAAUGUGAUUACUGUAAUAUACCUGUUAUGUGGGA
Molecule: long non-coding RNA, 1055 nt
Organism: Zea mays
Lineage: Eukaryota; Viridiplantae; Streptophyta; Magnoliopsida; Poales; Poaceae
Exons: 3
Source: RefSeq, marked validated